RNAcentral lists this unclassified non-coding RNA (173 nucleotides) under uncultured Castanediella. RNAcentral describes it as "sequence contains ITS2". Lineage: Eukaryota; Fungi; Ascomycota; Sordariomycetes; Xylariales. The record is from RNAcentral.
CAACCCUUAAGCUUAAGCCUAGCUUAGUGUUGGGAGUCUACUGGUGGUAAUUCGUUACCUUGUAGUUCCUAAAAUGAAACGGCGGAUCUGCAGUAUCCUCUGAGCGUAGUAAAUUUUUAUCUCGCUUUUGUUUAGGUGCUGUGGCUCUUGCCGCUAAACCCCCAAUUUUCAAU